UUAAAUGCACGCAGUAGGGAAUCGCUUUUGCCCCUCUGGUCGGUGUCUGAUACUACAACCGAGGCGGUCAUUAGCACAUGUUUAAUGUAAAUUUUCUUUUUUAUGGUAAAUUUGGGUAAAGUUUCCAGGUAUUAGUAAUUAGAGUAUUAAAUUUAACAUUAAAUUAUUUGGGUAAAGUUUCCAGGUAUUAGUGAUUAGAGUAUUAAAUUUAACAUUAAAUUGAUUUGGUGUAUUUGUCUGCAGGUGGGCUUGGGAGUAGCUUAAGGGUUUAAGAGUCGAGAUUUUUUUUUUCCCCACUCCUGUUGGGAAGUUUGUUACUUAAACUUUUUUUUUUAACAGGUGUUUUACCAAUUAUAUUUAAGAUGCUUAUAAUGCAGAGUAAUCAAGGGCAUAUGUAUGCUGCAGAAAAUUUAUGUCAAGACUCAUGGUUUUAAUUUUUUUUUUUUUUGUGACAUUUAAAUAUACUUUGAUAGUUUGAUGUUUUGAAUGUUAUGACAUUUAAUUCAACAUUAACGAUCCUUGAUGUUUCAAUUUGAAAGAGUCCUGUGCGGGCUGAGUCCGAGUCCAUUGAGGCUAAGAUGACUGCCUGUUCCGUUUGGCCUUGGCUUUCACCUUACAUUGUGUGUGUGACCUAUGCCCUUUGACCCAUUGGCUGACCUAACCGGAAGCCAUGAUGACAGCAGCCUUUUGCCAAUAGACCAGGGUGAUGGUGAGGAAUCCCAUUGGUUUUAAUAUGUUAAGAGAUUUAAUAAAGCGGUUGAGCUGGAGUUUUAAAGAGAAACAAUGUUGCCGCUGUCUGACCUGCUUUGUAAAAGAGCAGUUGGCUUCAAUUAUAAUUGGCCUGGUGUAGGUACUUAAAUUUAAUUUUUAUAUUGUACCUUUUUGGUUUAA
Long non-coding RNA from Erpetoichthys calabaricus (reedfish), 891 nucleotides. RefSeq lists it as uncharacterized. The record is from RefSeq and is a predicted model, not a curated record. The transcript has 2 exons. NCBI's taxonomy places the organism in Eukaryota, Metazoa, Chordata, Cladistia, Polypteriformes, Polypteridae.